UUCAUGUGAACCUACGCUGGUGCCUGUGUAAACAGGUGAAAAGGGAAUGUUGGAUUUCGGGGCCCUUGCCGGACCCGGUGUCAAGACAGCCGCCCCCGCGACCGUGAACGGAAGAGGGUUUCCGACGCCACUGGCCAUGUGCCGGGAAGGUGGAGACCCGCAGGGCCUAUGGCCCGAAACGCCGUGAGCCGGGAGACCUGCCAGCCCGAAACGAAGACC
RNAcentral lists this non-coding RNA (219 nucleotides) under Roseovarius sp. The record is from RNAcentral. Lineage: Bacteria; Pseudomonadati; Pseudomonadota; Alphaproteobacteria; Rhodobacterales; Roseobacteraceae.